RNAcentral lists this ribosomal RNA (492 nucleotides) under uncultured bacterium. RNAcentral's name for it is "partial 16S ribosomal RNA". It matches the Rfam family "Bacterial small subunit ribosomal RNA", at positions 29 to 507 of the family's 1533-position model. The record is from RNAcentral.
AGUGAACGCUGGCGGUAGGCCUAACACAUGCAAGUCGAACGGCAGCACAGUAAGAGCUUGCUCUUACGGGUGGCGAGUGGCGGACGGGUGAGGAAUACAUCGGAAUCUACUUUUUCGUGGGGGAUAACGUAGGGAAACUUACGCUAAUACCGCAUACGACCUACGGGUGAAAGCAGGGGAUCUUCGGACCUUGCGCGAAUGAAUGAGCCGAUGUCGGAUUAGCUAGUUGGCGGGGUAAAGGCCCACCAAGGCGACGAUCCGUAGCUGGUCUGGGAGGAUGAUCAGCCACACUGGAACUGAGACACGGUCCAGACUCCUACGGGAGGCAGCAGUGGGGAAUAUUGGACAAUGGGCGAAAGCCUGAUCCAGCCAUACCGCGUGGGUGAAGAAGGCCUUCGGGUUGUAAAGCCCUUUUGUUGGGAAAGAAAAGCAGCAGGUUAAUACCCCGCUGUUCUGACGGUACCCAAAGAAUAAGCACCGGCUAACUUCGUG